RNAcentral lists this ribosomal RNA (387 nucleotides) under Salmonella enterica subsp. enterica serovar Infantis. Its description in RNAcentral is "partial 23S ribosomal RNA". RNAcentral also lists the same sequence under 7 other names. Lineage: Bacteria; Pseudomonadati; Pseudomonadota; Gammaproteobacteria; Enterobacterales; Enterobacteriaceae. The record is from RNAcentral.
GGUUAAGCGACUAAGCGUACACGGUGGAUGCCCUGGCAGUCAGAGGCGAUGAAGGGCGUGCUAAUCUGCGAUAAGCGCCGGUAAGGUGAUAUGAACCGUUAUAACCGGCGAUACCCGAAUGGGGAAACCCAGUGUGAYUCGUCACACUAUCAUUAACUGAAUCCAUAGGUUAAUGAGGCGAACCGGGGGAACUGAAACAUCUAAGUACCCCGAGGAAAAGAAAUCAACCGAGAUUCCCCCAGUAGCGGCGAGCGAACGGGGAGGAGCCCAGAGCCUGAAUCAGCAUGUGUGUUAGUGGAAGCGUCUGGAAAGGCGCGCGAUACAGGGUGACAGCCCCGUACACAAAAGCGCAUGUGCUGUGAGCUCGAUGAGUAGGGCGGGACACGU